RNAcentral lists this ribosomal RNA (230 nucleotides) under uncultured bacterium. Its description in RNAcentral is "partial 16S ribosomal RNA". It matches the Rfam family "Bacterial small subunit ribosomal RNA", at positions 28 to 258 of the family's 1533-position model. The record is from RNAcentral.
GACGAACGCUGGCGGCGUGCUUAACACAUGCAAGUCGAGCGGUAAGGCCCGUUUCGGGGGUACACGAGCGGCGAACGGGUGAGUAACGACGUGGGUGACCUGCCCUCAGCUCUGGGAUAAGCCUGGGAAACCGGGUCUAAUACCGGAUAUGACUCCAUGACGCAUGUUGUGGGGUGAAAGCCUUGUGCGGCUGAGGAUGGGCCCGCGGCCUAUCAGCUUGUUGGUGGGGU